RNAcentral lists this long non-coding RNA (1140 nucleotides) under Monodelphis domestica (gray short-tailed opossum). Its description in RNAcentral is "lncRNA (ENSMODG00000043656.1)". Lineage: Eukaryota; Metazoa; Chordata; Mammalia; Didelphimorphia; Didelphidae. The record is from RNAcentral.
CUAAGGAAGGAAGCACAUGGACCCACCAGAGCAGCCUUCAGAGGGUGCCUGGGCUUAAACCAGCUGAUCUGGGCUUCAUGGAAUUACAGGUGGCUGCCUAAAAGAGUACUUGCUGCCCACCUGCCUGUCUGUCUGCCUGUCUGUCUGUCUGCCAGUCUGCCUAACUUCCUGUCUGCCUGUCUGUCUGUCUAUCUGCCUGCCUGCCUGUCUGCCUGCCUGUCUAUCUGUCUGUGUGUGUCUGUCUGUCUGUCUGCCUGUCUGCCUGCCUGUCUGUGUGUCUGCCUGCCUGUCUGUCUGCCUGUCUGCCUGUCUGCCUGUCUGCCUGCCUGCCUGUCUGUCUACCUGCCUUCCUGUCUGUCUGUCUGCCCGCCUGCCUGCCUGCCUGUCUGUCUGUCUGUCUGCCCGCCUGCCUGCCUGCCUGUCUGUCUGUCUGUCUAUCUGCCUGCCUGCCUAUCUGUCUGCCUGCCUGCCUGCCCGCCUGCCUGCCUGCCUGUCUGUCUGUCUGUCUAUCUGCCUGCCUGCCUAUCUGUCUGCCUGCCUGCCUGCCUGUCUGUCUGCCUGCCUGCCUUCCUGUCUGUCUGUCUGCCCGCCUGCCUGUCUGUCUGUCUGCCCGCCUGCCUGUCUGUCUGUCUGCCUGACUGUUUGUCUGCCUGUCUGUCUAUCUGUCAAUGUGUCUGUCUGUCUGGCUAUCUGUCUAUCUAUCUGUCUGUGUGUGUCUGUGUGUCUGUCUGUCUGUCUGUCUAUCUGUCUGUGUGUCUGUCUGUCUGUGUGUCUGCCUGUCUGUCUGUCUGUCUGUCUGUGUGUUUGCCUGUCUGCCUGUCUGUGUGUUUGCCUGCCUGUCUGCCUGCCUGCCUGUCUGCCUGCCUGCCUGUCUGCCUGCCUGCCUGUCUGUCUGCCUGCCUGCCUUCCUGUCUGUCUGUCUGCCCACCUGCCUGUCUGCCUGUCUGUCUAUCUGUCUGCCUGCCUGCCUUCCUGUCUGUCUGCCUGCCUGCCUAUCUGUCUGCCUGUCUGUCUGCCUGUCUGUCUGUCUGCCCGCCUGCCUGUCUGUCUGUCUGCCUGUCUGUCUACGUACCAAUUUCUCUCUCUUUACCUCUCCAAUUGUCCUCUCCACUUAUCACUCUAUCUCUGUGUAUUAUCUUU